ACCCGCAACUUUUCCUUCCUCAAUCCUUUUCUUUCUUUUUUUCAUUUUGUUCUUGUUUCUUCAUUUUUUUUGUUUUCUAGAUUCAUGACACUCCUUUUUACCACAUAUAUUCUAUUUUUCACAGCUCUUUUUUUCAUAUUCAUUUUGCAUUCUUCCCAUUCACCAAUAUACUUAUCCCAGGCUUCUGUAUACUCUGUACAACCAUUGAGGCGGA
RNAcentral lists this long non-coding RNA (214 nucleotides) under Elaeis guineensis (African oil palm). Its description in RNAcentral is "long non-coding RNA (EGUI_LNC078010)". The record is from RNAcentral. Lineage: Eukaryota; Viridiplantae; Streptophyta; Magnoliopsida; Arecales; Arecaceae.